This 24-nucleotide microRNA is filed under the name Zea mays. RNAcentral describes it as "microRNA miR-3119". Lineage: Eukaryota; Viridiplantae; Streptophyta; Magnoliopsida; Poales; Poaceae. The record is from RNAcentral.
AGAGGAAGAAGAAGAACAGUAGAG